GAGAAGGAGGCGGAAGCGGAGACCUCUCCAGUCCGUCCUGGAGCCAGUAGGGAAGCGGCUGUCGUGGCAAAGCCCAGCGGAAGAAAGGCCAGAGGGACACCAGGUCCGGGCUGCUCCCGGGCUGCUGAGUGCUGUCUCCGUGGCCGACUGACCGUGUCAUCAUUCAGCUGACCUGCCCUGCACCCUCCAGCCCCGGAAACCAUGGGCUCACGGACCCUGGCUCAGCGUGCUGCAGUCCCUUGAAGACACCGGGCUUGCAUUCCAGAGACGAGGAGCCACCGAGGGACAGCAGCCAGGCCCUGAGAUGAACAUCGCAGGGAGACAGCCCAGGUUUAUCUUACGGAGUUUUGGGACCGGGCUCCGGGCUUCCGUGUGUGGCAAACACCCGGAGGAUGUGCUGGAAGCCCGGGGUGCCUGCCCGCCGCUCUCAGGUCCUGCCGGAGAACCGGACAGAGGGCGGCUACGUGGCUUCCAGCGGACAUUCGCCGUCGGUGUUACCGCUAACACCUGCCUCUCCCCGCCAGCGCCACCGCGUCUCCCACCGAGGGGCAGAGGGACGUUUCCUGGCUCUGCUUCCCCCAAGCAUCAGGUGGCUGGAGGUUCCCUAUUUACGUGGUGCUCCUGACCGGCAGGUGUGCUCUGGGAUUGGUGCCCCAUAGGUGGCCUUGCAGGUGCCUGGCGUCCCCUCCCCCUGCCCCCACCGCCCCCCUGGGCUCCCCCAAGGGCUCGCUGCCCUCUGCCCGCCCUCUGCCAGCCCCACACGCGCACCUGAUGGGCUCCUGGUCUUCCUUGUCUUCCUUGCUCUGUGCCACCCUGAUGCCACUUUUCUUUGCUCUCGGGCAACCUGAAAGACUAAAGAAGGGACACAGCCUCAGGACGCGUCCACCGUGGCGUGGGCAGGUCCCUCCCCGCUGUCGCUGCUCAGAUUCUGUUUCUCCAGAAGCUGGAGCUGCUCCCCGUGAACACAAAAUUAUUCCGGGAGGAGGGACCUUCCGGGGACGGCCCCGCGUGUGCUCUCCAAGUCUUUAGACCCCGUCAGUCCCCUGGCGAGGGGGAGCGCUGGGUGGCUGGGAACACCAGAGAGAGGCUGGGUGGCGGGCCCAGAAAAGGGGUAACGCUGAGCAGAAAACACACGCUCCCUCCGUCUCUUCCUCGGCGACCUGUUGUCUGCAGCCCGCUGCCCGGGCCCUGCCAUCUGGGGACAAUGACACCCGGUGGUCUGAUUCCUCUCAAGUGCAGACUUACUGUGAGUCUGCAGAAGGCGCAGAGGAAGUUGAACAUGAUUAUUUUAUUCAGUCGUCAAAAUUUCGGAAAUAGAAGCUCACGCUUAUCUAAAGGAAGACUUCCGGCUGGAACAGAAAACUACUCCUACAUGUCUGAUCAUGCACGUGGGCCAACAUGUAUGAACUGCACAUGUGCUAACUUGCAUGAGGGUGUACACGGGCUAACAAUAGGCUGUGAUAUGAGAUUGUGCACGAGAACGUACAGAAUAAAUGCGAUUCUUGUGCAAAGACUGAAAAACCAGGAACUAGGCCAUUUACGGAGACGCGGGGACACACGGGUGCAGACUCGUCCGGUGCCAACGUGCGGCCGUGGCCCAGGUGGGUACCCGUCACCCCUCCUCCGUUCCUGAGCUUGUGCCGUGCUUCCCGGUCAGUCCUGGCUGACCACGCUGAGUCUCAGGGUCCCCUCACCCAUCGCUGCGCUCUGCCCCCCCCCCCCCCAGCAUCUUCCCUCCUUUCCUCUCGGGUAAGAAGCAGCACCCCACAGGCAGAGGGCGGGUGCUGGGGUUGGGGCUUCGGGCCCCGGCGCUGCCCCCUCCUGUCUCCGUCGACAGGUGUCCCAACCCCUCUGGAACGUGGCCCGUCUGCUACGUCACCGUCUCCUUUAAUAGGAAUGUGGGAAAGACGAGAUGUGCCCGGAUCCUCUCCUUCCUGCUGCCUCUGGUCCUCCGUUUCAAGGUAAAAACUUGGAAAGUGGGUGUGCCGCUCCGUGGCUGUCCCCACUGCCGUCCAGCUCUGAUCUCUUGCCAGGAAGAGCGCUCUUUCCGGUCACCAUGAUCCGGAGCCGGAGGGCGCCCCUGGCCUCUUGCAGGCGAUGCUCCUCCGAGCCUGUCGGCAGCCUCGGCGUCUGGAGGGCCUGUGUCCCGGGAGGUCGGUGUCGUGUGCUGCCCUCGCUUGAGGCCUGAGCUCACACGUCCCUCGUGCUCCUGAGCCCCCGCCAGGCCCUCUCCCCGCACGUCCUUCCCUUCCGGCAGAGCUCUCCUGAGCCCUCUGCCAUCCACGACAAAACUCAAGCCGUGCGUCCUACGACUCCUGGUCACGUCUCUUUGGGCGACGCCCUUCAUUCCCUCUGAAGGUUAAACUCCUCGCCCUCAGUUCCCUCCACGUCUCGUGCGCUCCUCUCCGUGGAUGGCAUCGGCGUCUGCUCCCCGGCCCGAGACGGAACUGAGCUCAUCCUUGGCCUUACUUGCCCGGGGUCCUGCUGGUUUUACGUCCCCCGUACCUUCGGAACCAUCCCCCUUCUGCCUCCGCGACGCCGUGUCGGGACGGGCUGGCGUCAGCUCCGAGCUGUGUUAAGCCGCUCCACUUAGGACCUUCCGGUGGCCCACCACCAAACGCCUCGCCGUGGGCACCGUGGGCCGGCCCCGCCCCCAGUGUCUGCCGGCUCUCCCGCCUGGCGCACGCCUGCGCCCUCGCACGCU
Long non-coding RNA from Lynx canadensis (Canada lynx), 2704 nucleotides. RefSeq lists it as uncharacterized. NCBI's taxonomy places the organism in Eukaryota, Metazoa, Chordata, Mammalia, Carnivora, Felidae. The transcript is spliced from 3 exons. The record is from RefSeq and is a predicted model, not a curated record.